UACGGAGGGGGCAAGCGUUAUUCGGAAUCAUUGGGCGUAAAGGGCGCGUAGGCGGCUUCAUAAGUCUUGGGUGAAAGCCCUCGGCUCAACCGAGGAAUUGCCUUUGAUACUGGGAAGCUCGAGUCCGGAAGAGGUGAGUGGAACUCCGAGUGUAGAGGUGAAAUUCGUAGAUAUUCGGAAGAACACCAGUGGCGAAGGCGGCUCACUGGUCCGGUACUGACGCUGAGGUGCGAAAGCGUGGGGAGCAAACAGG
Molecule: ribosomal RNA, 253 nt
Filed under: uncultured bacterium
Lineage: Bacteria
Description: partial 16S ribosomal RNA
Rfam family: Bacterial small subunit ribosomal RNA
Source: RNAcentral